GCUGAACUUAAGCAUAUCAAUAAGCGGAGGAAAAGAAACUAACAAGGAUUCCCCUAGUAACUGCGAGUGAAGCGGGAAAAGCUCAAAUUUAAAAUCUGGCGUUUUCGGGCGUCCGAGUUGUAGUUUAGAGAAGCGUUUUCCGCGCCGGACCGUGUACAAGUCUCCUGGAACGGAGCGUCAUAGAGGGUGAGAAUCCCGUCUUUGACACGGACUACCGGUGCUCUGUGAUGCGCUCUCGAAGAGUCGAGUUGUUUGGGAAUGCAGCUCAAAAUGGGUGGUGAAUUCCAUCUAAAGCUAAAUAUUGGCGAGAGACCGAUAGCGAACAAGUACCGUGAGGGAAAGAUGAAAAGCACUUUGGAAAGAGAGUUAAACAGUACGUGAAAUUGUUGAAAGGGAAACGCUUGAAGUCAGUCGCGUUCGCCGGGACUCAGCCUUGCUUCGGCUCGGUGNACUUCCCGGUGUACGGGCCAGCAUCACUUUUGAUCGUCGGAAAAGGGCGAGGGAAAGGUGGCACCUUCGGGUGUGUUAUAGUCCCUUGUCGUAUACGAUGGUUGGGAGUGAGGAACUCAGCACGCCUUACGGUCGGGGUUCGCCCACGUUCGUGCUUAGGAUGCUGGCGUAAUGGCUUUAAACGACCCGUCUUGAAACACGGACCAAGGAGUCUAACAUGCCCGCGAGUGUUCGGGUGGAAAACCCGUGCGCGUAAUGAAAGUGAAAGUUGGGACCUCUAUCGUGGAGGGCACCGACGCCCGGACCAGACCUUCUGUGACGGUUCUGCGGUAAAGCGUGUAUGUUGGGACCCGAAAGAUGGUGAACUAUGCCUGAAUAGGGUGAAGCCAGAGGAAACUCUGGUGGAGGCUCGUAGCGAUUCUGACGUGCAAAUCGAUCGUCAAAUUUGGGUAUANGGGCGAAAGACUAAUCGAACCAUCUAGUAGCUGGUUCCUGCCGAANUUUCCCUCCA
RNAcentral lists this ribosomal RNA (961 nucleotides) under Amylostereum laevigatum. RNAcentral describes it as "eukaryotic LSU rRNA". It matches the Rfam family "Eukaryotic large subunit ribosomal RNA", at positions 27 to 976 of the family's 3401-position model. Lineage: Eukaryota; Fungi; Basidiomycota; Agaricomycetes; Russulales; Stereaceae. The record is from RNAcentral.